UUGCUGAGUCGGCCAUGAAAUCGUCAGCUGCAAGAUCAAUGCCUAAUGAUCGACGUCGGGUGGCGCCACCACCGCCACCGCCACCGCCACAGCCACAGCCACAGCCAGUUUUCUUCCCUUAUCCGAUGCUACCUUAUAACCAUCCAUACGCGUACACGCCGCGGCCAGUAUCUUGGUCGUUUGUUCGUCCACAACUACCUAUACCCUCUUGGGACAACCAUACUUACGUUUAUACUCAAACACUGCCUCUAUUAUCUUCGUUUGUUUCUCCACCAACACCGCCUUCUUUGCCUUUUUGGAACAAUACUCAAACAUUGCAUCCACCUUCCUUCCCAACACCAACACCAGCACCGCCUUUUCCUUUAGCUUAUACUACUCCACCAUUAAUGCAUCCACCUUCCUUUCCAACACCAACACCAUCAGCACCACCUUUACCCUUGCAUCCACCUUCCAAUUCCUUCCCUCCCAACAAAGAAGAAGAUUUGAGCCACAAGAUUCUCAAACAAAUUGAAUAUUAUUUUUGGUUCGAUUUAAUUCAUUUGUACUUUUUAUAUAUAUUUCUUUUUUCUUUUAACUAAGAUACUAAUUAAAAUAAUUUUUGGUGUUGCAGUGAUAACAAUCUUGCCAAAGAUCUUCAUCUGAAAGACCAAAUGGACAUCGACAACGGAUGAGUUUCGAUUGAGGUUAUUGCCGGUUUUAAUCGAAUAAAAGAGAUGACAGAUGAUAUUAAGUUUAUUCUGGACAGCUUGAAACAUUCAGAUACAAUCGAAGUCGAGGGAGACAAACUAAGGCGACGUUCUACUUGGAAGAAAUGGAUAGUUUAUCGUCAAGCAGCUUCAAGGAAUUAAUGUUGUUCCCACGUAUCCAAUUAAGGAGUGUCAACUAAAGACAAAGCAAAAGUUAAGGCAAACAAGUAACACAAAAAGAAUGCUAAGUAAAGAGGUUUUGUAAUUUUAGACGAGUAUUCUUUUCCCUUUAUUGGCGUGGGUUUUCACCAUAAAAGUUUUAAUGAGGCUCGGAUCCUUAGUCUGCAAUUUUGUGCUUUCAAGGGUUUUAGAAUUUUUUCUUUUAAUAAAAUCUUAAUUAAGUCCAUAAUAGGAACGAAAUUAA
Molecule: long non-coding RNA, 1110 nt
Organism: Salvia miltiorrhiza (redroot sage)
Lineage: Eukaryota; Viridiplantae; Streptophyta; Magnoliopsida; Lamiales; Lamiaceae
Exons: 3
Source: RefSeq, a predicted model, not a curated record